GUACCUAUAUGGUUCGGCAGCACAUAUACUAAAAUUGGAAUGAUACAGAGAUUUGCAUGGCCCCUUCACAAGGAUGACUCACAAAUUCCUGAAGUGUUCCAUAUUUUU
Molecule: small nuclear RNA, 108 nt
Organism: Heteronotia binoei (common prickly gecko)
Lineage: Eukaryota; Metazoa; Chordata; Lepidosauria; Squamata; Gekkonidae
Source: RefSeq, a predicted model, not a curated record